Molecule: ribosomal RNA, 403 nt
Filed under: uncultured bacterium
Lineage: Bacteria
Description: bacterial SSU rRNA
Rfam family: Bacterial small subunit ribosomal RNA
Source: RNAcentral
UUUUGGACAAUGGGGGCAACCCUGAUCCAGCAAUGCCGCGUGAGUGAAGAAGGCCUUCGGGUUGUAAAGCUCUUUUGUCACGGCCCCAAACACCGGCUCUAACACAGUCCGGGAAUGACGGUACCUGAAGAAUAAGCACCGGCUAACUACGUGCCAGCAGCCGCGGUAAUACGUAGGGUGCAAGCGUUAAUCGGAAUUACUGGGCGUAAAGCGUGCGCAGGCGGUUAUACAAGACAGGCGUGAAAUCCCCGGGCUUAACCUGGGAAUGGCGCCUGUGACUGUAUAGCUAGAGUGUGUCAGAGGGGGGUAGAAUUCCACGUGUAGCAGUGAAAUGCGUAGAUAUGUGGAGGAAUACCAAUGGCGAAGGCAGCCCCCUGGGAUAACACUGACGCUCAUGCACGAA